AUUGAACGCUGGCGGCAGGCCUAACACAUGCAAGUCGAGCGGACGAAGGAAGCUUGUUCCUGCAUUCAGCGGGGGACGGGGGAGUGAGUCCUAGGUAUCUGACUCUGCGUGAUGGAUGGGGUCAGCUAAUGGAACCGGAUACCACAACCGCAUAGAGUUGGAAAGGCAGGGAUCUUCAGAUUAGGGCCUCUUUGCUGAGCCUAGGUCGGAUUAGCUAGUUGGUGGGGUAAAGGUAUACCAAGGCGACGAUCCGUAGCCGGUCUGAGAGGAUGAGCAGCCACACUGGAACUGAGACACGGUCCAGACUCCUACGGGAGGCAGCAGUGGGGAAUAUUGCACAAUGGGCGAAAGCCUGAUGCAGCCAUGCCGCGUGUGUGAAGAAGGUCUUCGGAUUGUAAAGCACUUUUAGUGGGGAGGAAGGGAAGUAAGUUAAUACCUUGCCGUCUUGACGUUACCAACAGAAUAAGCCCCGGCUAACUUCGUG
RNAcentral lists this ribosomal RNA (484 nucleotides) under uncultured bacterium. RNAcentral describes it as "partial 16S ribosomal RNA". It matches the Rfam family "Bacterial small subunit ribosomal RNA", at positions 30 to 507 of the family's 1533-position model. The record is from RNAcentral.